This 497-nucleotide ribosomal RNA is filed under the name uncultured bacterium. RNAcentral describes it as "partial 16S ribosomal RNA". It matches the Rfam family "Bacterial small subunit ribosomal RNA", at positions 28 to 507 of the family's 1533-position model. The record is from RNAcentral.
GAUGAACGCUGGCGGCGUGCCUAAUACAUGCAAGUCGAGCGAACGGACGAGAAGCUUGCUUCUCUGAUGUUAGCGGCGGACGGGUGAGUAACACGUGGAUAACCUACCUAUAAGACUGGGAUAACUUCGGGAAACCGGAGCUAAUACCGGAUGAUAUUUUGAACCGCAUGGUUCAAAAGUGAAAGACGGUCUUGCUGUCACUUAUAGAUGGAUCCGCGCUGCAUUAGCUAGUUGGUAAGGUAACGGCUUACCAAGGCAACGAUGCAUAGCCGACCUGAGAGGGUGAUCGGCCACACUGGAACUGAGACACGGUCCAGACUCCUACGGGAGGCAGCAGUAGGGAAUCUUCCGCAAUGGGCGAAAGCCUGACGGAGCAACGUCGCGUGAGUGAUGAAGGUCUUCGGAUCGUAAAACUCUGUUAUUAGGGAAGAACAUAUGUGUAAGUAACUGUGCACAUCUUGACGGUACCUAAUCAGAAAGCCACGGCUAACUACGUG